RNAcentral lists this ribosomal RNA (126 nucleotides) under Castor canadensis (American beaver). Lineage: Eukaryota; Metazoa; Chordata; Mammalia; Rodentia; Castoridae. The record is from RNAcentral.
GUGUACGGCCAUACCACCCUAAAAGUGCCCAAUCUCAUCUGGUUUCAGACGCUAAGCAGGGUCAGGCCUGGUUAGUACUUGGAUGGGAGACAGAUCUUCAGAGGAGAAUGCUCAGAGACAAGCAGU